Molecule: ribosomal RNA, 551 nt
Filed under: uncultured bacterium
Lineage: Bacteria
Description: bacterial SSU rRNA
Rfam family: Bacterial small subunit ribosomal RNA
Source: RNAcentral
UAGGGAAUCUUCGGCAAUGGGGGCAACCCUGACCGAGCAACGCCGCGUGAGUGAAGAAGGUUUUUCGGAUCGUAAAGCUCUGUUGUAAGAGAAGAACGAGUGUGAGAGUGGAAAGUUCACACUGUGACGGUAACUUACCAGAAAGGGACGGCUAACUACGUGCAAGCAGCCGCGGUAAUACGUAGGUCCCGAGCGUUAUCCGGAUUUAUUGGGCGUAAAGCGAGCGCAGGCGGUUAGAUAAGUCUGAAGUUAAAGGCUGUGGCUUAACCAUAGUACGCUUUGGAAACUGUUUAACUUGAGUGCAAGAGGGGAGAGUGGAAUUCCAUGUGUAGCGGUGAAAUGCGUAGAUGUAUGGAGGAACACCGGUGGCGAAAGCGGCUCUCUGGCUUGUAACUGACGCUGAGGCUCGAAAGCGUGGGGAGCAAACAGGAUUAGAUACCCUGGUAGUCCACGCCGUAAACGAUGAGUGCUAGGUGUUAGACCCUUUCCGGGGUUUAGUGCCGCAGCUAACGCAUUAAGCACUCCGCCUGGGGAGUACGACCGCAAGGUUG